RNAcentral lists this ribosomal RNA (450 nucleotides) under uncultured bacterium. RNAcentral's name for it is "partial 16S ribosomal RNA". It matches the Rfam family "Bacterial small subunit ribosomal RNA", at positions 354 to 796 of the family's 1533-position model. The record is from RNAcentral.
GUGGGGAAUAUUGGACAAUGGGCGAAAGCCUGAUCCAGCCAUGUCGCGUGUGUGAAGAAGGUCUUCGGAUUGUAAAGCACUUUAAGUUGGGAGGAAGGGCAGUAAGUUAAUACCUUGCUGUUUUGACGUUACCGACAGAAUAAGCACCGGCUAACUUCGUGCCAGCAGCCGCGGUAAUACGAAGGGUGCAAGCGUUAAUCGGAAUUAAUGGGCGUAAAGCGCGCGUAGGUGGUUCAGUAAGUUGGAAGUGAAAUCCCCGGGCUCAACCUGGGAACUGCUUUCAAAACUGCUGAGCUAGAGUACGGUAGAGGGUGGUGGAAUUUCCUGUGUAGCGGUGAAAUGCGUAGAUAUAGGAAGGAACACCAGUGGCGAAGGCGACCACCUGGACUGAUACUGACACUGAGGUGCGAAAGCGUGGGGAGCAAACAGGAUUAGAAACCCUGGUAGUCC